Molecule: ribosomal RNA, 467 nt
Filed under: uncultured bacterium
Lineage: Bacteria
Description: partial 16S ribosomal RNA
Rfam family: Bacterial small subunit ribosomal RNA
Source: RNAcentral
GACGAACGCUGGCGGCGUGCUUAACACAUGCGAGUCGAACGGAAAGGCCCUGCUUUUGUGGGGUGCUCGAGUGGCGAACGGGUGAGUAACACGUGAGUAACCUGCCCUUGACUUUGGGAUAACUUCAGGAAACUGGGGCUAAUACCGGAUAGGAGCUCCUGCUGCAUGGUGGGGGUUGGAAAGUUUCGGCGGUUGGGGAUGGACUCGCGGCUUAUCAGCUUGUUGGUGGGGUAGUGGCUUACCAAGGCUUUGACGGGUAGCCGGCCUGAGAGGGUGACCGGCCACAUUGGGACUGAGAUACGGCCCAGACUCCUACGGGAGGCAGAAGGGGGGAAUAUUGCACAAUGGGCGGAAGCCUGAUGCAGCAACGCCGCGUGCGGGAUGACGGCCUUCGGGUUGUAAACCGCUUUCGCCUGUGACGAAGCGUGAGUGACGGUAAUGGGUAAAGAAGCACCGGCUAACUACGU